RNAcentral lists this long non-coding RNA (2628 nucleotides) under Trifolium pratense (red clover). RNAcentral's name for it is "long non-coding RNA (TPRA_LNC002633)". Lineage: Eukaryota; Viridiplantae; Streptophyta; Magnoliopsida; Fabales; Fabaceae. The record is from RNAcentral.
ACAUUAAACAAUAAACAAUCCUCCAUAUACUAUGCAUCAAUUUUACCAUUCUAUUCCUUUUUCUUCUCCUUAUCCCUCAAGGUUCUCAUCAUAUAUGCAUCAAUGCCUAUCUUCUCAAAAAGCAUACCUAAUAUAGGUGCACCUGUAAUAAAAGUAGCAUGUCAAAUAUAUUGUAUGAAAGUUGUGAAAGUAAAGUAACAAAAUGCAACAUGUUUCAUCCAAGAGUAGGUCAAAUAUAUGGUAUGAAAGUUAAGUAACAAAAUGCGACAUGUUUCAUCCAAGAUACAUGCACCAGUUUUGGUGUAAUAGCUCCCAAACGCCCAACACAAUUUUCUUAACUAAUUCAAAAUCUUGUAUAUAAUGGCAAUAAGGUAGCAUAUAACGUUUGUCCCUCUAGUUAAGCACUUACACUAAUGUUAAAAUAGUCCCAAUCAAAAGUUUUAAAACGACAAAGAAAAUAAUUAGCUGUAUAAAAGAAGUGCAUAUCAUGCAAUUUCAUUGUACCAAGGAAACAAAAUUAGUCCUCUAUUGCAAUAUAGAAUGCACUGGUUCCCAUAUCUGGUUAAUGGUCACAAACCUGUUAUGGUUCAGGCAGGGUGUUUUCAGGCUCAUUAAAACCAGAAGUGAAAUGUUCCAUUGGUGCGUGAUUUUCUGCGAAUUGGGCACGAAUUGGUGUCACCAAACCAAUUCGCAAAAGUACCAAAAAUUGGUACUCACAAACCAGUUCACAAUUCUCGUGGCACUCUAGCGAAUUAUGAUACUAUGACUCAGACAAUUCACAAAAUACCUAUUUCAGAUGCCAUUAUAGGUUGAGUUAAAAUGAAAAUGGUAACAAUCCCAAAAGGAAUAGGUCAUUACACUCUUCAUAGAGAAGCAUAAGACUAUAGGAGGGUAUAUAUUUCACAUGAGGAUCAAUACACAGAGAACUUGAUAAGUUUCAUAAACAAAGGAAAAGCAGCCAUCAGCCUAUGCAGCACUUACACAGACAGUUGUAAAACUAUUCUACCGAUACAUUCAUCUAACUCCUAGAAUCCAUGAGAUUUUUCAAAUUCUAAAAAGUUCAAGUUCAACCAACGUCAAUAACCAAAUUUAAUUAAAAAUAGAAACAUUUUUGAUAAAAAAAUGUUAUAAAGUAUAGACGCCGCCAAACUAACCCAAAUGUGACAGAUAAUUAAUUGAUAUCCAGUCACAAUAUGUAUAUAUAUUAGAAUUAAAAUACGAACAAAUUUUCCUCGCCCAAAAGACAAAACCGGCCAGAUACUGCUACGACUCCGCUACGAAAAUGCUAUUCACUGGCAAAUAGCGGCUGCUAUUUCCGCUUCUCUAAAUAGCGGAAAGCGGACCUAUAGCAUAGCGGGGAGGGGGUCUACCGCUACGCUAUCCCGCGCUAUAGCGCUGCUAUUAACAUCAUAGAGAAAAACAGUUAUUGGAAUGAACAACUUUGGUCAAUCAACCUACACCAUAUUUAUACUACAUUUUGUUUGGGGACUCUAAUAGAUUUAAACCAAUAAGUCAUUGUGUAUCUAUUUUUCAAGUUUCCAUUCUAAUCCAGUGAAUGAUCAGAGAUAGAGGAGUACAUUUUCAUAAAGGUGUUGUGCACACUUUGUGAUGAAGAACAUACAUAAUUAGUCAUGAAUUCUAAACAGGACAAUUUGUGAAGGGCUACAUAAUUAGUCAAGUAUAUCAUUCAAAACUUGUAAAAAAUCUGCCAGUAAAGACAUGACAUAUUGAUCCAUAUCAUGAUUAGUUAAUAGUAAAGACCAAUAUAGUUAGCAAUUAAAACUUAAGAGUGAUUAAUAAUAAAUCACCUUAAACUUUCAACUACAACCACAUAUUCUUUUUCAUUCCAUCACAUGUAGUUAGAUACAAAUGUGAAUAUCAUAUUCAACCUAUAUUUCACUAACAUGUUAUGAAAAAAUCAAAUGCAAAGAGAUCCAAAUUUUGUUAUAAAACACAGCAACCUUUUUAUUUAACCUUUGAAAUUGCAGGUCUAACCUGUUGUUGUUCCAUGCGGAUCUCCACUUACCUUCCAAAUCUGGAAUAAACAACACAACAGAAAACCAUCAAAAUCCAGCUCAUAUGAUCAUCAAUCAAUAGAUAGCAUUUAAGAAAUAAUUAAGUUUGCAAAAGUGAAACAUCAUCCAUUUGAUUUAAACCCUUUUGCAAAAGUGAAACUCAUAAGUAGAAACCAGGAAAAAGGAAAGAUAGACACAGUGAAAGUCAUUAACAUAUAAAACCAAAAAGACAUUAACAUAUAAACAAAAAUGAAAGAUAGACACAGUGAAAGACAUUAACAUAUAACUUUCUUACCACUUCCACUAUCAAAUGAUCAAUAUCCAAAUUAAUCAAUAAAUGAAAAUUGAACCUAAUUGAAAUUUAGAGGAAAAAUGAACCUGAAAACUGAAUAUAAUUGGAAAAAAUACCAGACAUUCAAUGAAAGAAGCCAUGGACUCCAACAUUUGUUAAGCUCCUCCAAGUUAUGCAUAUAGAAGUUAUACCACUGUGUAUUAAAUCCAUGUACACCUUUCAUAAUCAAAAGACCUAAAGUGUUAGGGAACAUAUAGGUUGUAGAGAAAGAAAAAACCAUAUAUUGAUCAACCUAAUAUUCGUAGAGAAAAGGCCAAGUNN